UGGGGAAUUUUGGACAAUGGGCGCAAGCCUGAUCCAGCAAUGCCGCGUGCAGGAUGAAGGCCUUCGGGUUGUAAACUUCUUUUGUAUAGGGAUAAACCUUUCCACGUGUGGAAAGCUGAAGGUACUAUACGAAUAAGCACCGGCUAACUACGUGCCAGCAGCCGCGGUAAUACGUAGGGUGCGAGCGUUAAUCGGAAUUACUGGGCGUAAAGCGUGCGCAGGCGGUUAUAUAAGACAGAUGUGAAAUCCCCGGGCUCAACCUGGGACCUGCAUUUGUGACUGUAUAGCUAGAGUACGGUAGAGGGGGAUGGAAUUCCGCGUGUAGCAGUGAAAUGCGUAGAUAUGCGGAGGAACACCUAUGGCGAAGGCAAUCCCCUGGACCUGUACUGACGCUCAUGCACGAAAGCGUGGGGAGCAAACA
RNAcentral lists this ribosomal RNA (421 nucleotides) under uncultured bacterium. RNAcentral describes it as "bacterial SSU rRNA". It matches the Rfam family "Bacterial small subunit ribosomal RNA", at positions 355 to 774 of the family's 1533-position model. The record is from RNAcentral.